Long non-coding RNA from Mobula hypostoma (lesser devil ray), 316 nucleotides. RefSeq lists it as uncharacterized. The record is from RefSeq and is a predicted model, not a curated record. Lineage: Eukaryota; Metazoa; Chordata; Chondrichthyes; Myliobatiformes; Myliobatidae. The transcript is spliced from 3 exons.
CAUGGGACCAGGUGGUGGAUGGUCAUACGAGCAGCUGGUGCAGAUCACAUGUCCUGGUUAUGUGACCACUGACGCCAGGCGGACAAUCUCUGAAGAGUAUUGAUAAUGACUGGGAUCACCCGUCUUGUGGAGACACUGCCCAGAAAAAGGUGCAGCUAAAUGAGAAGGAAGGGGCUUGGGGCCGACUGGGGGCAGAGGAAGACCCCCGGGUUCUCAGUGCACUGAUGUGGUGCUGGCUGGAACACCUCAAGGAGCCAGUGCUGAGAUCAGACGAUGUGGUGACACUGUUGUCAAAACCAACAGACAAGCAUAAUCU